This 430-nucleotide ribosomal RNA is filed under the name Bacteroidota bacterium. RNAcentral describes it as "Bacteroidetes bacterium partial 16S ribosomal RNA". It matches the Rfam family "Bacterial small subunit ribosomal RNA", at positions 355 to 776 of the family's 1533-position model. Lineage: Bacteria; Pseudomonadati; Bacteroidota. The record is from RNAcentral.
UAGGGAAUCUUCGGCAAUGGGGGGAACCCUGACCGAGCAACGCCGCGUGAGUGAAGAAGGUUUUCGGAUCGUAAAGCUCUGUUGUUAAGGAAGAACGAGUGUGAGAAUGGAAAGUUCAUGCUGUGACGGUACUUAACCAGAAAGGGACGGCUAACUACGUGCCAGCAGCCGCGGUAAUACGUAGGUGGCAAGCGUUGUCCGGAUUUAUUGGGCGUAAAGCGAGCGCAGGCGGUCAAUUAAGUCUGAUGUGAAAGCCCCCGGCUCAACCGGGGAGGGUCAUUGGAAACUGUUUAACUUGAGUGCAGAAGGGGAGAGUGGAAUUCCAUGUGUAGCGGUGAAAUGCGUAGAUAUAUGGAGGAACACCGGUGGCGAAAGCGGCUCUCUGGUCUGUAACUGACGCUGAGGCUCGAAAGCGUGGGGAGCGAACAGG